This 1299-nucleotide ribosomal RNA is filed under the name metagenome. RNAcentral describes it as "bacterial LSU rRNA". It matches the Rfam family "Bacterial large subunit ribosomal RNA", at positions 1633 to 2925 of the family's 2925-position model. The record is from RNAcentral.
CAUACACGACCGUACCGCAAACCGACACUGGUGCGCGAGAUGAGUAUUCUAAGGCGCUUGAGAGAACUCAGGAGAAGGAACUCGGCAAAUUGACACCGUAACUUCGGAAGAAGGUGUGCCUUUAGUAGGUGAACCUGUACAAGGGGAGCCCAAUGAGGUUGCAAAAAAUCGGUGGCUGCGACUGUUUAAUAAAAACACAGCACUCUGCAAACACGAAAGUGGACGUAUAGGGUGUGACGCCUGCCCGGUGCUGGAAGAUUAAAUGAUGGGGUGCAAGCUCUUGAUUGAAGUCCCAGUAAACGGCGGCUGUAACUAUAACGGUCCUAAGGUAGCGAAAUUCCUUGUCGGGUAAGUUCCGACCUGCACGAAUGGCGUAACGAUGGCCACACUGUCUCCUCCUGAGACUCAGCGAAGUUGAAAUGUUUGUGAUGAUGCAAUCUCCCCGCGGAAAGACGGAAAGACCCCAUGAACCUUUACUGUAGCUUUGUAUUGGACUUUGAACAGAUCUGUGUAGGAUAGGUGGGAGGCUUUGAAGUGUGGUCGCUAGAUCGCAUGGAGCCAACGUUGAAAUACCACCCUGGUGUGUUUGAGGUUCUAACCUAGGCCCGUAAUCCGGGUCGGGGACAGUGCAUGGUAGGCAGUUUGACUGGGGCGGUCUCCUCCCAAAGCGUAACGGAGGAGUUCGAAGGUACGCUAGGUACGGUCGGACAUCGUGCUAAUAGUGCAAUGGCAUAAGCGUGCUUAACUGCGAGACUGACAAGUCGAGCAGAUGCGAAAGCAGGACAUAGUGAUCCGGUGGUUCUGUAUGGAAGGGCCAUCGCUCAACGGAUAAAAGGUACUCUGGGGAUAACAGGCUGAUACCGCCCAAGAGUUCAUAUCGACGGCGGUGUUUGGCACCUCGAUGUCGGCUCAUCUCAUCCUGGGGCUGUAGCCGGUCCCAAGGGUAUGGCUGUUCGCCAUUUAAAGAGGUACGUGAGCUGGGUUUAAAACGUCGUGAGACAGUUUGGUCCCUAUCUUCCGUGGGCGCUGCAGAUUUGAGGAAGCCUGCUCCUAGUACGAGAGGACCGGAGUGGACACACCUCUGGUGUAUCGGUUGUCACGCCAGUGGCAUUGCCGAGUAGCUAUGUGUGGAAGAGAUAACCGCUGAAAGCAUCUAAGCGGGAAACUCGUUUCAAGAUGAGAUCUGCCGGGGCCUUGAGCCCCCUAAAGAGUCGUUCAAGACCAGGACGUUGAUAGGUCGGGUGUGGAAGCGCAGUAAUGCGUUAAGCUAACCGAUACUAAUUGCUCGUGCGGCUUGAC